CACUGGCGAAAAUUGUCAAAAUCAACUUUUUCAGAACUCCGAAAGUUAACCAAAGUCUUGCUAAAAUCCAAGGAGGAUUUAUUCAAGAAAAACAGCCAAAACUAGAACGUAUCCUCAGGGUAACUGAAGAGAUCACAGCGUCAAGGGAUUGGCAGACAUAGAGAAGAUUGAUAAAAGCCAGCAUUGGAAAGGAUGAGCGGAAUGAAUAUGUUCAUACACUGUUGGUAGGAAUAUACAUCGAGGCGAUACUUUUUGAGAGUAAUUUGUCGGUAUCUUCUAUAAUGAAAAAGUGUUCAUCACCUUUGAGUUAGUAAUUCCAAGUGGAUAGGUCCCAGGAGGGGAAGGUAGCUGCUCGUGGCCAAAUGGACCGGGCAAUAACUGGAGAGAGAGGGACCAGACUCGGGUACUAUGGCUGAAGACAUCAUGCU
RNAcentral lists this long non-coding RNA (428 nucleotides) under Equus asinus (donkey). RNAcentral describes it as "lncRNA (ENSEASG00005030106.1, ENSEASG00020040163.1)". Lineage: Eukaryota; Metazoa; Chordata; Mammalia; Perissodactyla; Equidae. The record is from RNAcentral.